Molecule: small nucleolar RNA, 127 nt
Organism: Caenorhabditis elegans
Lineage: Eukaryota; Metazoa; Nematoda; Chromadorea; Rhabditida; Rhabditidae
Source: Ensembl
UGUGUCAUUUAUUCCUCGGAUAGUGAUAUUUGUUCCUUUUCGAGCUCAUACUGACACAAAAGCAAUGGCAGAUUUGCAACUAGUUGCGUUCUACUUGAUCGUGGCUAUACUUUCUUCUGACCACAUU